RNAcentral lists this ribosomal RNA (478 nucleotides) under uncultured bacterium. RNAcentral describes it as "partial 16S ribosomal RNA". It matches the Rfam family "Bacterial small subunit ribosomal RNA", at positions 29 to 523 of the family's 1533-position model. The record is from RNAcentral.
AACAAACGCUGGCGGCGUGCCUAAUACAUGCAAGUCGAACGAGGAAAGCUUUCGGGUGAGUACUAGUGGCGCACGGGCGAGGAAUACAUGGGUAAUCUGCCCUCGAGUUGGGGAUAACCAGUCGAAAGAUUGGCUAAUACCGAAUAAGACCACAGGAUCUGCGGAUCUAGGGGUUAAAGGUUUUUCGCUUGAGGAUGAGCCCAUGCGGGAUAAGCUAGUUUGUGAGGUAAUGGCUCACCAAGGCUACGAUCCCUAACUGGUCUUAGAGGAUGAGCAGUCACACUGGAACUGAGACACGGUCCAGACUCCUACGGGAGGCAGCAGUAGGGAAUAUUGCACAAUGGGGGAAACCCUGAUGCAGCGACGCCGCGUGAGUGAUGAAGGCCUUCGGGUCGUAAAGCUCUGUCGUAUGGGACUAACACAAUGAAGGUACCAUGCAAGAAAGGAUCGGCUAACUUCGUGCCAGCAGCCGCAGUAA